Molecule: ribosomal RNA, 771 nt
Filed under: uncultured Verrucomicrobiota bacterium
Lineage: Bacteria; Pseudomonadati; Verrucomicrobiota
Description: bacterial SSU rRNA
Rfam family: Bacterial small subunit ribosomal RNA
Source: RNAcentral
CGAACGGGAUUUCAUUUGUAGCAAUACCGAAUGAAAUCUAGUGGCGAACGGGUGCGUAACACGUGAGCAAUCUGCCGGGAAGUGGGGGAUAACUCGCCGAAAGGCGAAUUAAUACCGCAUAUGGCCAGGGAGGACAUCCUCCCGAAGCCAAAGUCGCAAGACGCUUCCUGAUGAGCUCGCGGCCUAUCAGCUAGUUGGUGAGGUAACGGCUCACCAAGGCUAUGACGGGUAGCUGGUCUGAGAGGACGACCAGCCACACUGGAACUGAGACACGGUCCAGACACCUACGGGUGGCAGCAGUCGAGAAUUUUUCACAAUGGGGGAAACCCUGAUGGAGCGACGCCGCGUGGAGGAUGAAGGUUUUCGGAUUGUAAACUCCUGUCAAAUGGGAACAAGAAAGUGAUAGUACCAUUAGAGGAAGAGACGGCUAACUCUGUGCCAGCAGCCGCGGUAAUACAGAGGUCUCAAGCGUUGUUCGGAUUCAUUGGGCGUAAAGGGUGCGCAGGCUGUGGGGUAAGUCGGAUGUGAAAUUUAGGGGCUCAACCUCUAAACUGCAUUCGAUACUGCUCCGCUAGAGGUAUGUAGAGGAGAUUGGAAUUCACGGUGUAGCAGUGAAAUGCGUAGAUAUCGUGAGGAAGACCAGUGGCGAAGGCGAAUCUCUGGGCAUUACCUGACGCUCAUGCACGAAGGCCAGGGGAGCAAACGGGAUUAGAUACCCCGGUAGUCCUGGCAGUAAACGGUGCACGUUUGGUGUGGGAGGAUUCGACCCCU